UAGGGAAUCUUCGGCAAUGGACGAAAGUCUGACCGAGCAACGCCGCGUGAGUGAAGAAGGUUUUCGGAUCGUAAAACUCUGUUGUUAGAGAAGAACAAGGACGUUAGAAACUGAACGUCCCCUGACGGUAUCUAACCAGAAAGCCACGGCUAACUCCGUGCCAGCAGCCGCGGUAAUACGGAGGGUGCAAGCGUUAAUCGGAAUUACUGGGCGUAAAGCGCACGCAGGCGGUUUGUUAAGUCAGAUGUGAAAUCCCCGGGCUCAACCUGGGAACUGCAUCUGAUACUGGCAAGCUUGAGUCUCGUAGAGGGGGGUAGAAUUCCAGGUGUAGCGGUGAAAUGCGUAGAGAUCUGGAGGAAUACCGGUGGCGAAGGCGGCCCCCUGGACGAAGACUGACGCUCAGGUGCGAAAGCGUGGGGAGCAAACAGG
This 429-nucleotide ribosomal RNA is filed under the name Chloroflexota bacterium. Its description in RNAcentral is "Chloroflexi bacterium partial 16S ribosomal RNA". It matches the Rfam family "Bacterial small subunit ribosomal RNA", at positions 355 to 776 of the family's 1533-position model. The record is from RNAcentral. Lineage: Bacteria; Bacillati; Chloroflexota.